GCGCAGAGGAACGAUUGUGUUUGGUCCGUUGGCCUCCCCAAAGCGGUGUGAAUGGUAGAUGCGAUCGAUUUCCUUACGGCACGGCGAUCCCUUGGAGCAUAGAUUGUCCAUAUCGGCUUCAAGUAUACGAAAGUCUCCCCACGUAUCCUUGCAUCGUUGACGAAACACCCUGCCGAUGAAUCCUCCCGCUCCAUGGCCGCUGCCUCGGUUGGCCAGACAAAAAGAUCGCUCCUUGAGGUCGCGCACGGUCUCGGCUCGUCUCUUUGUAAAGGCCCGCCGUUCCAGCCACGACCAGUCGUAUCUUUCACCAUAGAAUCCGUAUCGUCGAUCCCCCGUGUCGUCGCCCAUCGCUGUUGCCAGGGUGGCGCUACUACCGCGUCAGUGUUGUCGGUGGUGUGGCUGUUGCCGCCUUUUUGGAUGAAAGAAAAAUUAG
Molecule: long non-coding RNA, 433 nt
Filed under: Pandoravirus quercus
Description: hypothetical ncRNA
Source: RNAcentral